UGAACAAGUGGGACAGUAUGGGCGUAUGUGUCAACACGGCUAUCAAGGCUAUAUCGUCGCUCUCGUUCAGGUCACUAUUCUUUAGUUUGUUGGUGGAACUCAAACUUCAGAAUCUUCACUUUCCAAGAGAUUACUACUACUACUACUACAAAUUGAUAAUCCUCAGUGUAUAACCGGUCUCUCAUGAUGACGUUGGGCAUCGCUAGGCUAGUAGGAGCAUGCGUGAUUCUCUCGCUAGGUAGUGGGGAAAACAUUGCUCUCCACAAACAAACAUGGAUGAGUAGUACCAGGAGAGUACAAUAUUCCGGAAGAGCGGUAGAUGGAGUGAGUGACGCAUAUAACGAGUCAUUAACAAUCCACACCUCGUUGCGUGAGCCUAAUGCUUGGUGGAAGGUUGAUCUCGAGACGGUGGUACAGUCUCCAUUGAUCAUCAUCUACUUCAGAUCUGACUACAAAGUCCGCCGUAAUGGGUUGCAAUUUUAUUGCUCUGUUACAAGUUCUCUUGCUCCAAAAAACGGAAGUCUGUUUUACACGGUCAGGGGACGUAGAGACGGUCGAGAUAUUGCUGAUAUUCUAAACGUUACCUGUUACGAAAGCUUUCGCUUCCUUACUAUUUACACUGAGACAGCCAAUGAUAACGGUGUUGGACUUUGCGGAAGUAGAAGUUUGGAAUACUUAUCAAUCACAGAGCCCAUUCACAGGAGAUGACGAUGAUGAUACGCACUCAGAUUAUGAUAAAAUACAAACAUUGAGUAAGUAAACAACACUAUUUCGCAUUUUAUACUUCUUCGUGUUUGUGAAUGGAAUCCUGAGUGCUGCAUGAGUUACACUCUUGAUGUUUGUAUUAUUUCAAAGUAGUAUGCUGCAGAUCAACGGAAGUUAAGGUACAAAACGGUCACAUGGACAUUGUCAGACGAUGGUAAAUAUUGUGUGAAGUUUACUGAGAAAACAGUUCGUGAAUCUGGGACUUCUUCACAAUCACUGUAUGCUAAAGUGUGCUAAUGUUUGAGAACAUUUUGAACAUUUCCAAACAGUAUGCUGCAGACCAACGGAAGUAUCUCCGUUAACCAAUUAGGACAAUAUCAUAUACAUAAAUUCCAACGUUUUUGGAGACGAAGGUACAUGUCAUCUGAUGUUUACUGAGAAAACAAUUUUGGUCUCGUCUUGUGAAAUUCGGGGCUAAGGCAUUCAGAAUGAUCCUUGAAGAACCGGUUAGAAUUGGUCAUCAGCAACCCAUGAGA
Long non-coding RNA from Haliotis rubra (blacklip abalone), 1241 nucleotides. RefSeq lists it as uncharacterized. The transcript is spliced from 3 exons. The record is from RefSeq and is a predicted model, not a curated record. Lineage: Eukaryota; Metazoa; Mollusca; Gastropoda; Lepetellida; Haliotidae.